RNAcentral lists this ribosomal RNA (275 nucleotides) under uncultured bacterium. RNAcentral describes it as "partial 16S ribosomal RNA". It matches the Rfam family "Bacterial small subunit ribosomal RNA", at positions 338 to 605 of the family's 1533-position model. The record is from RNAcentral.
CCUACGGGUGGCUGCAGUGGGGAAUUUUGGACAAUGGGGGCAACCCUGAUCCAGCCAUGCCGCGUGCGGGAAGAAGGCCUUCGGGUUGUAAACCGCUUUUAGCCGGGAAGAAAAGGGCGAGGUGAAUAGCUUCGUCACUUGACGGUACCGGCGGAAUAAGCACCGGCUAACUACGUGCCAGCAGCCGCGGUAAUACGUAGGGUGCGAGCGUUAAUCGGAAUUACUGGGCGUAAAGCGUGCGCAGGCGGUUCGUUAAGUUCGAUGUGAAAGCCCCG